AUUGAACGCUGGCGGCAUGCCUUACACAUGCAAGUCGAACGGUAACAGGUCUUCGGAUGCUGACGAGUGGCGAACGGGUGAGUAAUACAUCGGAACGUGCCCGAUCGUGGGGGAUAACGAGGCGAAAGCUUUGCUAAUACCGCAUACGAUCUACGGAUGAAAGCGGGGGAUCUUCGGACCUCGCGCGGACGGAGCGGCCGAUGGCAGAUUAGGUAGUUGGUGGGAUAAAAGCUUACCAAGCCGACGAUCUGUAGCUGGUCUGAGAGGAUGAUCAGCCACACUGGGACUGAGACACGGCCCAGACUCCUACGGGAGGCAGCAGCGGGGAAUUUUGGACAAUGGGCGAAAGCCUGAUCCAGCCAUGCCGCGUGCAGGAUGAAGGCCUUCGGGUUGUAAACUGCUUUUGUACGGAACGAAAAGCCUCUUUCUAAUAAAGAGGGGUCAUGACGGUACCGGAAGAAUAAGCACCGGCUAACUACGUG
This 482-nucleotide ribosomal RNA is filed under the name uncultured bacterium. Its description in RNAcentral is "partial 16S ribosomal RNA". It matches the Rfam family "Bacterial small subunit ribosomal RNA", at positions 30 to 507 of the family's 1533-position model. The record is from RNAcentral.